This 67-nucleotide transfer RNA is filed under the name Chelonus formosanus. Its description in RNAcentral is "tRNA-Val". Lineage: Eukaryota; Metazoa; Arthropoda; Insecta; Hymenoptera; Braconidae. The record is from RNAcentral.
AUAAAAAUAAGUUAAAAUUAAAACUAUUUAAUUUACAAUUAAAAAUUAUAUAAAAUUAUUUUUUAUA